Molecule: ribosomal RNA, 1378 nt
Filed under: Klebsiella sp. IX
Lineage: Bacteria; Pseudomonadati; Pseudomonadota; Gammaproteobacteria; Enterobacterales; Enterobacteriaceae
Description: 16S ribosomal RNA
Rfam family: Bacterial small subunit ribosomal RNA
Source: RNAcentral
ACAGAGAGCUUGCUCUCGGGUGACGAGCGGCGGACGGGUGAGUAAUGUCUGGGAAACUGCCUGAUGGAGGGGGAUAACUACUGGAAACGGUAGCUAAUACCGCAUAACGUCGCAAGACCAAAGUGGGGGACCUUCGGGCCUCAUGCCAUCAGAUGUGCCCAGAUGGGAUUAGCUGGUAGGUGGGGUAACGGCUCACCUAGGCGACGAUCCCUAGCUGGUCUGAGAGGAUGACCAGCCACACUGGAACUGAGACACGGUCCAGACUCCUACGGGAGGCAGCAGUGGGGAAUAUUGCACAAUGGGCGCAAGCCUGAUGCAGCCAUGCCGCGUGUGUGAAGAAGGCCUUCGGGUUGUAAAGCACUUUCAGCGGGGAGGAAGGCGGUGAGGUUAAUAACCUCACCGAUUGACGUUACCCGCAGAAGAAGCACCGGCUAACUCCGUGCCAGCAGCCGCGGUAAUACGGAGGGUGCAAGCGUUAAUCGGAAUUACUGGGCGUAAAGCGCACGCAGGCGGUCUGUCAAGUCGGAUGUGAAAUCCCCGGGCUCAACCUGGGAACUGCAUUCGAAACUGGCAGGCUAGAGUCUUGUAGAGGGGGGUAGAAUUCCAGGUGUAGCGGUGAAAUGCGUAGAGAUCUGGAGGAAUACCGGUGGCGAAGGCGGCCCCCUGGACAAAGACUGACGCUCAGGUGCGAAAGCGUGGGGAGCAAACAGGAUUAGAGAUACCCUGGUAGUCCACGCUGUAAACGAUGUCGAUUUGGAGGUUGUGCCCUUGAGGCGUGGCUUCCGGAGCUAACGCGUUAAAUCGACCGCCUGGGGAGUACGGCCGCAAGGUUAAAACUCAAAUGAAUUGACGGGGGCCCGCACAAGCGGUGGAGCAUGUGGUUUAAUUCGAUGCAACGCGAAGAACCUUACCUGGUCUUGACAUCCACAGAACUUUGCAGAGAUGGUUUGGUGCCUUCGGGAACUGUGAGACAGGUGCUGCAUGGCUGUCGUCAGCUCGUGUUGUGAAAUGUUGGGUUAAGUCCCGCAACGAGCGCAACCCUUAUCCUUUGUUGCCAGCGGUUAGGCCGGGAACUCAAAGGAGACUGCCAGUGAUAAACUGGAGGAAGGUGGGGAUGACGUCAAGUCAUCAUGGCCCUUACGACCAGGGCUACACACGUGCUACAAUGGCAUAUACAAAGAGAAGCGACCUCGCGAGAGCAAGCGGACCUCAUAAAGUAUGUCGUAGUCCGGAUUGGAGUCUGCAACUCGACUCCAUGAAGUCGGAAUCGCUAGUAAUCGUAGAUCAGAAUGCUACGGUGAAUACGUUCCCGGGCCUUGUACACACCGCCCGUCACACCAUGGGAGUGGGUUGCAAAAGAAGUAGGUAGCUUAACCUU